This 200-nucleotide ribosomal RNA is filed under the name Asaia siamensis. Its description in RNAcentral is "partial 16S ribosomal RNA". It matches the Rfam family "Bacterial small subunit ribosomal RNA", at positions 307 to 530 of the family's 1533-position model. The record is from RNAcentral. Lineage: Bacteria; Pseudomonadati; Pseudomonadota; Alphaproteobacteria; Acetobacterales; Acetobacteraceae.
GCGGGGCGGGGGCACGGGGGGACUCUUACGGGAGGCAGCAGUGGGGAAUAUUGGACAAUGGGCGAAAGCCUGAUCCAGCAAUGCCGCGUGUGUGAAGAAGGUCUUCGGAUUGUAAAGCACUUUCGACGGGGACGAUGAUGACGGUACNCGUAGAAGAAGCCCCGGCUAANUUCGUGCCAGCAGCCGCGGUAAUACAUCAC